UCCCUGAUGGCUCAGAUGGUAAAGCGUCUGCCUGCAAUGCGGGAGACCUGGGUUUGAUCCCUGGUUUGGGAA
This 72-nucleotide transfer RNA is filed under the name Bos taurus (domestic cattle). It matches the Rfam family "tRNA". From Rfam's summary of the family: Transfer RNA (tRNA) molecules are approximately 80 nucleotides in length. Their secondary structure includes four short double-helical elements and three loops (D, anti-codon, and T loops). Further hydrogen bonds mediate the characteristic L-shaped molecular structure. tRNAs have two regions of fundamental functional importance: the anti-codon, which is responsible for specific mRNA codon recognition, and the 3' end, to which the tRNAs corresponding amino acid is attached (by aminoacyl-tRNA synthetases). tRNAs cope with the degeneracy of the genetic code in two manners: having more than one tRNA (with a specific anti-codon) for a particular amino acid; and 'wobble' base-pairing, i.e. permitting non-standard base-pairing at the 3rd anti-codon position. Lineage: Eukaryota; Metazoa; Chordata; Mammalia; Artiodactyla; Bovidae. The record is from Rfam by way of RNAcentral. RNAcentral also lists the same sequence under 1 other name.